AACGAACGCUGGCGGCAUGCCUAACACAUGCAAGUCGAACGAAACCUUCGGGUCUAGAGGCGUACGGGUGCGUAACGCGGGGGAACCUGCCCUUAGGAUCGUAAUAACUCCCCGAAAGGGGUGCUAAUACCGGAUAAUGUCUUCCGACCAAAGAUUUAUCGCCUUUGGAUGGGCCCGCGUUGGAUUAGCUAGUUGGUAGGGUAAAAGCCUACCAAGGCGACGAUCCAUAGCUGGUCUGAGAGGAUGAUCAGCCACACUGGGACUGAGACACGGCCCAGACGCCUACGGGAGGCAGCAGUGGGGAAUAUUGGACAGUGGGCGAGAGGCUGAUGCAGCAAUGCCGCGUGAGCGAUGAAGGCCUUAGGGUUGUAAAGCUCUUUUACCCGGGAUGAUAAUGACAGUACCGGGAGAAUAAGCUCCGGCUAACUCCGUG
RNAcentral lists this ribosomal RNA (433 nucleotides) under uncultured bacterium. Its description in RNAcentral is "partial 16S ribosomal RNA". It matches the Rfam family "Bacterial small subunit ribosomal RNA", at positions 29 to 507 of the family's 1533-position model. The record is from RNAcentral.